Molecule: unclassified non-coding RNA, 255 nt
Filed under: fungal sp.
Lineage: Eukaryota; Fungi
Description: partial internal transcribed spacer region
Rfam family: Eukaryotic small subunit ribosomal RNA (bases 1-46)
Source: RNAcentral
AAGUCGUAACAAGGUUUCCGUAGGUGAACCUGCGGAAGGAUCAUUCUUGUAUACCAGGUCGAGCGUAAGCUUGGCCUAACCAUGUGUGAAUCAGUGUUCUUUUUCCCGGCGGGAUCUUUGGUGUUGACUCUGGGCUUUGCCUGGAAGAGCCUUAGUGACGGCUGGGGUAUUGCCUCGCAAGAGGUCAACAUGUUAAUAGCAGGGAACUCAAAAAGUAACAAUUACAACUUUAAACGAUGGAUCUCUUGGCUCUCA